RNAcentral lists this transfer RNA (71 nucleotides) under Neophocaena phocaenoides (Indo-Pacific finless porpoise). RNAcentral's name for it is "tRNA-Thr". The record is from RNAcentral. RNAcentral also lists the same sequence under 1 other name. Lineage: Eukaryota; Metazoa; Chordata; Mammalia; Artiodactyla; Phocoenidae.
GUCUUUGUAGUAUAUAAAAUACUUCGGUCUUGUAAACCGAAAAAGGAGAACCCCACUCCUCCCUAAGACUC